Molecule: long non-coding RNA, 373 nt
Organism: Talpa occidentalis (Iberian mole)
Lineage: Eukaryota; Metazoa; Chordata; Mammalia; Eulipotyphla; Talpidae
Exons: 3
Source: RefSeq, a predicted model, not a curated record
UCAACGUUGUGCUCACAAUUCUGCUGACUCAGUCUUGUCCGUGUCCCUGGCACAUUGUGAGCCUUUGGAGCAGAACCCUAAGCUCAGCCCUCUCUAGCUGAGGGAGCCUAGGCGUAUCACGGUGAUUCUGAGCUACAGCUUCCUCUGCAAAAUGCCUCUUUCCAUCGUCACAACCGAGUAGGACGGGCAAGGCGUCUAGCAUGAACGGAGAACAGCGUCCUGGGCUCUCGAUCACGACUGGUCUCCCUCUGCCUUAAAAGCCUUCCACGACUUCUGUGAAGGAUAAAUGCUGUGAAAUCUUUUCCCUAAACAUUACAGCAGUGGAUAAAGAAAAAACAUGUUGGCGCUGUGACAAGUUCCUGCUUCCUCCCAG